CGAGAACAUGGCUUUGGAGUCAGAUGGACUUGGGUCCAAAUCCUGACAUUACAGCUUCCAGGUGUGAGUUGGGAAAAGCUGCUAACCUCCCCUAGCUGUAACAUUAUUCUCAUCUAAUGGGUCAGGAAGCAAAGAUCAAGAAAGACCAAUUGGCAAACAUGAGUCCUGUGUUGUCAUCUAUAAAAAAAGAUUCACCUUGCAUGAUUCUUAUAAGGAAUGAGAAGAUAAGAGGAAAGAGCCCACAAAGGCAAAAGUGUCUGGGGCCCACGAAAAUCAUAAUGCAGCCUUGAUGAAGAAAGAUCUUUGCCAUUCAAAAGAAGGGUCGUGGCAAACAAAGAGGCAAAAAGUAAAGAAAACCACUCAGUAGAUGAGUAUAGGGUUCCCCCAAUCCUGACAUCCUUCAGCUCCGGGAAGUCCUUCUGCCUCGGGAUGGCAGGGAUAUUUUACAAG
RNAcentral lists this long non-coding RNA (450 nucleotides) under Heterocephalus glaber (naked mole-rat). RNAcentral's name for it is "lncRNA (ENSHGLG00100027626.2)". The record is from RNAcentral. Lineage: Eukaryota; Metazoa; Chordata; Mammalia; Rodentia; Bathyergidae.